RNAcentral lists this ribosomal RNA (255 nucleotides) under uncultured bacterium. Its description in RNAcentral is "partial 16S ribosomal RNA". It matches the Rfam family "Bacterial small subunit ribosomal RNA", at positions 524 to 776 of the family's 1533-position model. The record is from RNAcentral.
UACAGAGGUCUCAAGCGUUGUUCGGAUUCAUUGGGCGUAAAGGGUGUGUAGGUGGCGCCGUAAGUCGGGUGUGAAAUUUCGGAGCUUAACUCCGAAACUGCAUUCGAUACUGCGGUGCUUGAGGACUGGAGAGGAGACUGGAAUUCAUGGUGUAGCAGUGAAAUGCGUAGAGAUCAUUGAGGAAGACCAGUGGCGAAGGCGGGGUCUCUGGACAGUUCCUGACACUGAGACACGAAGGCCAGGGGAGCAAACGGG